This 84-nucleotide transfer RNA is filed under the name Candidatus Micrarchaeota archaeon CG10_big_fil_rev_8_21_14_0_10_59_7. Its description in RNAcentral is "tRNA-Leu". It matches the Rfam family "tRNA". Rfam says of the family: Transfer RNA (tRNA) molecules are approximately 80 nucleotides in length. The record is from RNAcentral. Lineage: Archaea; Nanobdellati; Microcaldota.
GCAGGGGUGGCUGAGCCUGGAAAAAGCGGCGGGUUUAGGGCCCGCUCCCUUAGGGGUUCAAGAGUUCAAAUCUCUUCCCCUGCA